CCAAGGUCCGAGUUUUACGUAGGUGUACAAUUCAAUUUUAACCUUAACUAUGUGUUUUGUCUAAGAUUUUGUGUACGAGACACUACUUAAAAGUAAAGUAAUGGUCACUCUAUUGAAGAUUAAUAACAAAGAUGGUUCACAGUUUAUGUUUUAAAUUGUUUCUUGUUAUAUCGAUUACUACACUAUUAAGACUGGUAACACCAAUAGGAUAUUUUCAAUGUUCUGAUGUGUUUUUAAGUGAAGAACUUGAAAUGUUUCUCUCUUGUAAAGAAUUUUGUGAGUGUGCUGUAAAAAUCAAUCAUGAUAUUGUUAUAGGGUGCAAAAAGACCUGCUGUUGCAGGGAACAUGAUCUCAAGUCGUAUGAUUUAACGUUGUCAAGUAAUCAAACGAGACCAUAGUAACCUUUGCGUUGCAAAGAGAUAAAACGUAAAGCUCGUAAACAAAUUACUUUGGCGUUGCUUAGAGAUCAAGCGUAAAACUCAUAAAAUAAAUUUGUACCUGUUACGUAAUAGUAUGACGUAUAAAUUUCUAUUUAUUAA
Long non-coding RNA from Hydra vulgaris (swiftwater hydra), 539 nucleotides. RefSeq lists it as uncharacterized. The record is from RefSeq and is a predicted model, not a curated record. Lineage: Eukaryota; Metazoa; Cnidaria; Hydrozoa; Anthoathecata; Hydridae.